GACGAACGCUGGCGGCGUGCCUAAUACAUGCAAGUAGAACGCUGAAGAGAGGAGCUUGCUCUUCUUGGAUGAGUUGCGAACGGGUGAGUAACGCGUAGGUAACCUGCCUGGUAGCGGGGGAUAACUAUUGGAAACGAUAGCUAAUACCGCAUGAWAUUGCUUAUCGCAUGAUAWUUAAUUGAAAGAUGCAAUUGCAUCACUACCAGAUGGACCUGCGUUGUAUUAGCUAGUUGGUGAGGUAACGGCUCACCAAGGCAACGAUACAUAGCCGACCUGAGAGGGUGACCGGCCACACUGGGACUGAGACACGGCCCAGACUCCUACGGGAGGCAGCAGUAGGGAAUCUUCGGCAAUGGACGGAAGUCUGACCGAGCAACGCCGCGUGAGUGAAGAAGGUUUUCGGAUCGUAAAGCUCUGUUGUAAGAGAAGAACGAGUGUGAGAGUGGAAAGUUCACACUGUGACGGUAUCUUACCAGAAAGGGACGGCUAACUACGUGC
Molecule: ribosomal RNA, 498 nt
Filed under: uncultured Streptococcus sp.
Lineage: Bacteria; Bacillati; Bacillota; Bacilli; Lactobacillales; Streptococcaceae
Description: bacterial SSU rRNA
Rfam family: Bacterial small subunit ribosomal RNA
Source: RNAcentral